RNAcentral lists this transfer RNA (400 nucleotides) under uncultured Microcystis sp. Its description in RNAcentral is "bacterial LSU rRNA". The stretch from base 134 to 207 matches the Rfam family "tRNA". The record is from RNAcentral. Lineage: Bacteria; Bacillati; Cyanobacteriota; Cyanophyceae; Chroococcales; Microcystaceae.
AAGGGAGACCUAAUUCAGGUAGGAGACGAAAAAAAGUAGUCCCUACCAAGUAUCAAUCCCAAAAGGUCGGAGCGAGGCAAAAUUGGCUUUCAAACUAGGUUCUGGGUUCACAUAAGACCUGAAUCAGGAACAAGGGCUAUUAGCUCAGGUGGUUAGAGCGCACCCCUGAUAAGGGCGAGGUCCCUGGUUCGAGUCCAGGAUGGCCCACCUGCACAGGUGGCAAAAACAAAGAAAAGAAGCUCCGAAUCAGCACCUUAUCUUACUCAUAUAGUAAGAGAGAAUGCUGGCUCUGAGUUCAGAGUCCAGAGGAACCUUGGAAACUGCAUAGAGCUAGGUGAAAAGCCAAAAAAGAAGACCGCAAGGUCACGCUAAUAAGGGCUAACGGUGGAUACCUAGGCAC